RNAcentral lists this ribosomal RNA (528 nucleotides) under Burkholderia sp. RNAcentral's name for it is "bacterial SSU rRNA". It matches the Rfam family "Bacterial small subunit ribosomal RNA", at positions 67 to 588 of the family's 1533-position model. Lineage: Bacteria; Pseudomonadati; Pseudomonadota; Betaproteobacteria; Burkholderiales; Burkholderiaceae. The record is from RNAcentral.
CGGCAGCACGGGUGCUUGCACCUGGUGGCGAGUGGCGAACGGGUGAGUAAUACAUCGGAACAUGUCCUGUAGUGGGGGAUAGCCCGGCGAAAGCCGGAUUAAUACCGCAUACGAUCUACGGAUGAAAGCGGGGGACCUUCGGGCCUCGCGCUAUAGGGUUGGCCGAUGGCUGAUUAGCUAGUUGGUGGGGUAAAGGCCUACCAAGGCGACGAUCAGUAGCUGGUCUGAGAGGACGACCAGCCACACUGGGACUGAGACACGGCCCAGACUCCUACGGGAGGCAGCAGUGGGGAAUUUUGGACAAUGGGCGAAAGCCUGAUCCAGCAAUGCCGCGUGUGUGAAGAAGGCCUUCGGGUUGUAAAGCACUUUUGUCCGGAAAGAAAUCCUUGGUUCUAAUAUAACCGGGGGAUGACGGUACCGGAAGAAUAAGCACCGGCUAACUACGUGCCAGCAGCCGCGGUAAUACGUAGGGUGCGAGCGUUAAUCGGAAUUACUGGGCGUAAAGCGUGCGCAGGCGGUUUGUUAAGA